Molecule: ribosomal RNA, 406 nt
Filed under: uncultured bacterium
Lineage: Bacteria
Description: partial 16S ribosomal RNA
Rfam family: Bacterial small subunit ribosomal RNA
Source: RNAcentral
AUUGAACGCUGGCGGCAGGCUUAACACCUGCAAGUCGAUCGAGCGGCGGACGGGUGAGUACUGUCUGGGAAACUGCAUCAUGGAGGGGGAUAACUACUGGAAACGGUAGCUAAUACCGCAUACCAUCAGAUGUGCCCAGCUGGGAUUAGCUAGUAGGUGGGGUAAUGGCUCACCUAGGCGACGAUCCCUAGCUGGUCUGAGAGGAUGACCAACCACACUGGAACUGAGAAACGGUCCAGACUCCUACGGGAGGCAGAAGUGGGGAAUAUUGCACAAUGGGCGCAAGCCUGAUGCAGCCAUGCCGCGUGUGUGAAGAAGGCCUUCGGGUUGUAAAGCACGUUCAGCGAGGAGGCGUUACUCGCAGAAGAAGCACCGGCUAACUCCGUGCCAGCAGCCGCGGUAAUAC